RNAcentral lists this long non-coding RNA (869 nucleotides) under Pan troglodytes (chimpanzee). Its description in RNAcentral is "long non-coding RNA NONPTRT012297". Lineage: Eukaryota; Metazoa; Chordata; Mammalia; Primates; Hominidae. The record is from RNAcentral.
CUCAUAACCCAUGAGGAAUGGGAGCCGACAGACAGACUCAUCCCCAGGACAGGUGGUUCUCACUACAUCUCAGAAAGCUUCUUAGAAGAUCUUACAGGAUCGUGCAACCAGCCAGCCACAGCAGGGGCCGACUGGAUAACAUGUCUUUGCACAGGCUCUCCCUCUGUCCCUGUCACCCUCCCCUUUUCCUAACCUUGUUCCUUGGGAUUAUGUUUUGAAAUAAGUUAUUCAGAGAAAUGAAGCUAAAGCUGACCCAUUAGCCAAUAGCUAGGUUCUGUGAUGACAGGGCUUCUGGGCUAUAAUCGUUUACUGAGAAGCCAGCGUUCCCGAGGGGAUAAUGGCUCGUUCCAUUCAGCUGCAGCAUAGGAGUGAGGGCAGGGCAUUAGCAGAAGAUAACACCAGAAACGUGCUCUGGGGCCUGUUUAUGACUUUCUAUGCCAAGCGUAGAUAUUUAGCCUUUAUUCUGUAGGUGAUGGGAAGCCAGUGCCAGUGGUGGGUUUGAGCAGGGAACCAGCAACCAGUGGUGGGUUUGAGCAGGGAACCAGCAAUACUCAAGCUCUGCUAGGAUGGAGGCCAGUCAGGGAGGAGUUAGGGCAGGAGGACCGGUCAGGGAGGAGACUCAGGGCAGGAGGACAGGUCAGGGAGGAGACUUAGGGCAGGAGGACCAGUCAGGGAGGAGUUAGGGCUAGAGGACUGGUCAGGGAGGAGUUAGGGCAGGGGGACCGGUCAGGGAGGAGUUAGGGCAGGAGGACAGGUCAGGGAGGAGUUAGGGCAUGGGGAUUGGUCAGGGAGGAGUUACGGCAGGAGGACAGGUCAGGGAGGAGUUAGGGCAGGGGGACUGGUCAGGGAGGAGUUAGGGCAGGAGGACA